This 170-nucleotide small RNA is filed under the name Catenulispora sp. Its description in RNAcentral is "c-di-AMP sequence". It matches the Rfam family "c-di-AMP riboswitch aptamer (ydaO/yuaA leader)". From Rfam's summary of the family: This family represents a conserved RNA structure found upstream of the ydaO and yuaA genes in Bacillus subtilis and related genes in other bacteria. Lineage: Bacteria; Bacillati; Actinomycetota; Actinomycetes; Catenulisporales; Catenulisporaceae. The record is from RNAcentral.
CGCGGGACCGUGCGGAAACCGGAACCGGGGACCCACCAAGUCCCAUCGGCCCGCAUCCCAGCGGGCCAGGGGUGAAUCGGUCCGCCGCGUACCCCCCUCGCGGCAGCCGUAGGGCACGCUUCUCAGCCCGAACCCGACAGCUAACCCGGUAGGCGGAAGCGAGAAGAAGA